UACGGAGGAGGCAAGCGUUAUCCGGAAUUAUUGGGCGUAAAGCGUCCGCAGGUGGCACCUCAAGUCUGCUGUCAAAGACCGGGGCUUAACCCCAGAAAGGCAGUGGAAACUGAAGUGCUAGAGUGCAGUAGGGGUAGAGGGAAUUCCCGGUGUAGCGGUGAAAUGCGUAGAGAUCAGGAAGAACAUCGGUGGCGAAGGCGCUCUGCUGGACCAUAACUGACACUCAGGGACGAAAGCUAGGGGAGCGAAUGGG
RNAcentral lists this ribosomal RNA (253 nucleotides) under uncultured bacterium. RNAcentral's name for it is "partial 16S ribosomal RNA". It matches the Rfam family "Bacterial small subunit ribosomal RNA", at positions 524 to 776 of the family's 1533-position model. The record is from RNAcentral.